UACGGAGGGGACUAGCGUUGUUCGGAAUUACUGGGCGUAAAGCGCGCGUAGGUGGCUUCGUAAGUCCGUUGUGAAAGUCAAAGGCUCAACCUUUGAAAGCCGAUGGAUACUGCGGAGCUAGAGUACGGAAGAGGCGAGUGGAAUUCCUGGUGUAGCGGUGGAAUGCGCAGAUAUCAGGAGGAACACCAAUAGCGAAGGCAGCUCGCUGGGACGUUACUGACACUGAGGCGCGAAAGCGUGGGGAGCGAACAGG
Molecule: ribosomal RNA, 253 nt
Filed under: uncultured bacterium
Lineage: Bacteria
Description: partial 16S ribosomal RNA
Rfam family: Bacterial small subunit ribosomal RNA
Source: RNAcentral